RNAcentral lists this ribosomal RNA (667 nucleotides) under uncultured Synergistota bacterium. RNAcentral describes it as "bacterial SSU rRNA". It matches the Rfam family "Bacterial small subunit ribosomal RNA", at positions 66 to 729 of the family's 1533-position model. The record is from RNAcentral. Lineage: Bacteria; Thermotogati; Synergistota.
UUAGCGCUGGAAGGUUCGCUGGAAGCCGCAGAUAUUGGCGGACGGGUGAGUAACGCGUGAGGGACAUGUCUGCAGGAGGGGGAUAACGUUUGGAAACGGACGCUAAGACCCCGUAAGCCGGGAGGUGAAAGUGGCGGAAGCCAGCACUGUGGAGUGACUCGCGUCCUAUCAGCUAGUUGGCGGGGUGAAGGCCCACCAAGGCUGAUGACGGGUAGCCGACCUGAGAGGGUGGCCGGCCACACUGGAACUGAGAUACGGUCCAGACUCCUACGGGAGGCAGCANUUGGGGAAUAUUGGGCAAUGGGCGGAAGCCUGACCCAGCAGACNGCCGCCGUGGGGGAAGAAGUCUUUUCGGGAUGUAAACCCUUGUUGUACGGGACCGAAGGAAGUGAACGGUACCGUACGAGGAAGCCCCGGCAAACUACGUGCCAGCAGCCGAGGUAAUACGUAGAGGGGACGAGCGUUGUCCGGAAUCACUGAGCAGUAAAGCGCACGUAGGCGGGCUGUCAAGUCGGNCGUGAAAGGCAACGGGCUCACACCUGUGCAUGUCGGUCGAUACCUGGCCGGUCUGGAGUAUGGGAGAGGGAAACUGGAAUUCCCGGUGUUAGCGGUUGACACAUGCGUUAGACUCUCGGGAGGNACACCAGUUGGGCGAAAGGCGAGGUUC